UACGAAGGGUCCAAGCGUUAUCCGGAUUUAUUGGGUUUAAAGGGUGCGCAGGCGGGACCUUAAGUCAGUGGUGAAAUCUCGUAGCUCAACUACGAAACUGCCAUUGAUACUGAGGUUCUUGAAUGUAGUUGACGUUAGUGGAAUGUGUCAUGUAGCGGUGAAAUGCUUAGAUAUGACACAGAACACCAAUUGCGAAGGCAGCUCGCUACACGAAUAUUGACUCUGAGGCACGAAAGCGUGGGGAUCAAACAGG
This 253-nucleotide ribosomal RNA is filed under the name uncultured bacterium. RNAcentral's name for it is "partial 16S ribosomal RNA". It matches the Rfam family "Bacterial small subunit ribosomal RNA", at positions 524 to 776 of the family's 1533-position model. The record is from RNAcentral.